CAACUUUGCUUAUUUUGCAAGAAAUUGACAUGAUUUUGUAUGUGUGAUGUGUUUUGGUGUUUUUUGAAUGUUAAUACAUGUAUAUAUGUAUGGUAUAUACAUGAUUGAUCACUUGUUAUGCAUUUAUAACAUGUUAUAAUGUAUUUUGGAUGGAUUUGAGUGUUAAACCGCCUUAGAAACUCAAGAACAGAUAUUUUCU
Molecule: long non-coding RNA, 199 nt
Filed under: Trifolium pratense (red clover)
Lineage: Eukaryota; Viridiplantae; Streptophyta; Magnoliopsida; Fabales; Fabaceae
Description: long non-coding RNA (TPRA_LNC011011)
Source: RNAcentral